RNAcentral lists this ribosomal RNA (253 nucleotides) under uncultured bacterium. RNAcentral describes it as "partial 16S ribosomal RNA". It matches the Rfam family "Bacterial small subunit ribosomal RNA", at positions 524 to 776 of the family's 1533-position model. The record is from RNAcentral.
UACGUAGGGAGCAAGCGUUGUCCGGAAUCAUUGGGCGUAAAGCGCGCGUAGGUGGCCCUGUAAGUCCGUUGUGAAAGUCAAAGGCUCAACCUUUGAAAGCCGAUGGAUACUGCAGAACUAGAGUACGGAAGAGGCGAGUGGAAUUCCUGGUGUAGCGGUGGAAUGCGCAGAUAUCAGGAGGAACACCAAUAGCGAAGGCAGCUCGCUGGGACGUUACUGACACUGAGGCGCGAAAGCGUGGGGAGCGAACAGG